This 2871-nucleotide small RNA is filed under the name Pan troglodytes (chimpanzee). RNAcentral's name for it is "retained intron". Lineage: Eukaryota; Metazoa; Chordata; Mammalia; Primates; Hominidae. The record is from RNAcentral.
UGAAUUAGAAUCUUGAGAGUUAGGCUUGGGACUCACAAGCUCCCAGAUGAUUUUAAUGCUCAGUGAGGUUGAAGAGCCGCCUGUCCAAGGAGUUGUCACUCCGUGUGAUCUGGGGCUUGCAAGGAAAGUGAGAUCUCAGGCCUCCCUGCAGAGCUGCCGAAUUGGCUUCUGCGUUUUGCCAAGUUUCCCGGGUGUGAACAUGAGUUUCAGAGUCACUCCUCUAGGGGCCCUGCUUCUCAGCUCGGACCAUUGACCCCUCAGAGGACAUUUGGCAACAUCUGGAAACGUUCUUGGUUGUCACAGCCUAGGAGGUGGGUAGUGGUGCUGCUAGUGGGUAGAGGUCAGGGGUACUGCACCAGGACAGCAGCACUGGCCACAGAAAAGAACUAUCUUGCCCUGAGCAUCAGUAGUUCCCCGUUGACUGGCCCUGAGGCAGAGCGAUGCAGCAUCCAAAAGGCGGUGGAGCAGAACUGCCCCAGAUCCUAGUCACUUAACCUUCAGUGUUGAUCUGAAGGAACUUCCUGCAGAUUGUCCCCCUGAAUUUAUUCUGGACAUCCCCAAUGGGGUCUGCUGAGGCCAUAUACCCUGUCCGUCACCUGAGAUGCUUCUCUCUCUCCCUGCAGGGAUGCCAUUAUUACUUGCAAUCCUGAGGAAUUCAUAAUUGAGGCGCUGCAGCUUCCCAACUUCCAGCAGAGUGUGCAGGAGUACAGGAGGAGUGCGCAGGACGGCCCAGCCCCAGCAGAGAAAAGAAGUCAGUACCCAGAAAUCAUCUUCCUUGGAACAGGGUCUGCCAUCCCGAUGAAGAUUCGAAAUGUCAGUGCCACACUUGUCAACAUAAGCCCCGACACGUCUCUGCUACUGGACUGUGGUGAGGGCACGUUUGGGCAGCUGUGCCGUCAUUACGGAGACCAGGUGGACAGGGUCCUGGGCACCCUGGCUGCUGUGUUUGUGUCCCACCUGCACGCAGAUCACCACACGGUGAGUGUUGGGCUGGACCACAAAGCUGGAGCCUGGAGGAGGCACUGCCACGUUGAGUUGGCCCUUUGGCUGCGUCUUUUCCUCCGCUUCCAAACUUGCCCAGAGCUUUUGUUACUCAUCUCUGGCUAGGAAAUGGUCUUUUGCAAAACUCAACAUAGUCCUUCUGCGCCACAAGAAUGUCUUCUCUUUCUGUUUAGUUCCUUUCCUGCAGCAGGACAGGUUUGAGUUUACCCAGCCUUCCUUGAAUCUUGAAUCUCACACGGCCUGCUCAGCGGAAGCUUUGACCAGAUGCAGGAGGUGUGGCUAUGAGACCCUCACCUUGGUCUUCUGGGGUGCCGGGCCCUGGGCCAUUGCCCUCUUCCCAACACGGGUCAUGUUGCUUUCUGCCUGUGACAUUUCAGGGUCAUGGCGCGGGGGGCUCAGCCUGUGCCACCCCCACUGCGGCUGUGUUAGAGGCUGGUGGGUGACAUCGGGCUGGCAACUCCUGCAAGAGAGAGGACUCCAGACCCUAACCUGAAGGAGAUCGCCCUGGGUCCUGGCUAAUGCAUGUCUCCUGUUUCCUUGCCAGGGCUUGCUAAAUAUCUUGCUGCAGAGAGAACGAGCCUUGGCAUCUUUGGGAAAGCCCUUUCACCCUUUGCUGGUGGUUGCCCCCAACCAGCUCAAAGCCUGGCUCCAGCAGUACCACAACCAGUGCCAGGAGGUCCUGCACCACAUCAGUAUGAUUCCUGCCAAAUGCCUUCAGGAAGGGGCUGAGAUCUCCAGUCCUGCAGUGGAAAGAUUGAUCAGUUCACUGUUGCGAACAUGUGAUUUGGAAGAGGUAAGGGGCACAGCUGCAGGCAUCAUGGGGGUGAGGUGGGGAGCAGAGCUGCAGAGCCCUCCAGCCCCACCCUUUCAGUUUCAGACCUGUCUGGUGCGGCACUGCAAGCAUGCGUUUGGCUGUGCGCUGGUGCACACCUCUGGCUGGAAAGUGGUCUAUUCCGGGGACACCAUGCCCUGCGAGGCUCUGGUCCGGAUGGGGAAAGAUGCCACCCUCCUGAUACAUGAAGCCACCCUGGAAGAUGGUUUGGAAGAGGAAGCAGUGGAAAAGACACACAGCACAACGUCCCAAGCCAUCAGCGUGGGGAUGCGGAUGAACGCGGAGUUCAUUAUGCUGAACCACUUCAGCCAGCGCUAUGCCAAGGUCCCCCUCUUCAGCCCCAACUUCAACGAGAAAGUGGGAGUUGCCUUUGACCACAUGAAGGUCUGCUUUGGAGACUUUGCAACAAUGCCCAAGCUGAUUCCCCCACUGAAAGCCCUGUUUGCUGGCGACAUCGAGGAGAUGGAGGAGCGCAGGGAGAAGCGGGAGCUGCGGCAGGUGCGGGCGGCCCUCCUGUCCAGGGAGCUGGCAGGCGGCCUGGAGGAUGGGGAGCCUCAGCAGAAACGGGCCCACACAGAGGAGCCACAGGCCAAGAAGGUCAGAGCCCAGUGAAGAUCUGGGAGACCCUGAAUUCAGAAGGCUGUGUGUCUUCUGCCCCACGCACGCACCCGUAUCUGCCCUCCUUGCUGGUAGAAGCUGAAGAGCACGGUCCCCCAGGAGGCAGCUCAGGAUAGGUGGUAUGGAGCUGUGCCAAGGCUUGGGCUCCCACAUAAGCACUAGUCUAUAGAUGCCUCUUAGGACUGGUGCCUGGCACAGCCGCGGGACAGGAGGCUGCCACACGGAAGCAAGCAGAUGAACUAAUUUCAUUUCAAGGCAGUUUUUAAAGAAGGCAUGGAAACAGACGGCAGCACCUUUCCUCUAAUCCAGCAAAGUGAUUCCCUGCACACCAGAGACAAGCAGAGUAACAGGAUCAGUGGGUCUAAGUGUCCGAGACUUAACGAAAAUAGUAUUUCAGCUGCAAUAAAGAUUGAGUUUGC